This 384-nucleotide ribosomal RNA is filed under the name Placoneis asymmetricus. Its description in RNAcentral is "SSU rRNA". It matches the Rfam family "Eukaryotic small subunit ribosomal RNA", at positions 632 to 1026 of the family's 1831-position model. The record is from RNAcentral. Lineage: Eukaryota; Bacillariophyta; Bacillariophyceae; Cymbellales; Cymbellaceae.
AGUUGGAUUUGUGGCGGCAGCGGCCGGGCCAUUUUUGGCGUCGGCGGCGUGCUGCCAUCCUUGGGUGGAGCCUGUGUGGCAUUAGGUUGUCGCGCAGGGGAUGCCCAUCAUUUACUGUGAAAAAAUCAGCGCGUUCAAAGCAGGCUUACGCCGUUGAAUGUAUUAGCAUGGAAUAAUAAGAUAGGACCUUGGUACUAUUUUGUUGGUUUGCGCACCGAGGUAAUGAUUAAUAGGGACAGUUGGGGGUAUUCGUAUUCCAUUGUCAGAGGUGAAAUUCUUGGAUUUCUGGAAGACGAACUACUGCGAAAGCAUUUACCAAGGAUGUUUUCAUUAAUCAAGAACGAAAGUUAGGGGAUCGAAGAUGAUUAGAUACCAUCGUAGUCA